CGGGUGAGUAACACGUGGGCGACCUGCCCUCAGCUCUGGGAUAAGCCUGGGAAACUGGGUCUAAUACCGGAUAUGACCACAUGUCGCAUGGUGUGUGGUGGAAAGUUUUUUCGGCUGGGGAUGGGCCUGCGGCCUAUCAGCUUGUUGGUGGGGUGAUGGCUUACCAAGGCGACGACGGGUAGCCGGCCUGAGAGGGCGACCGGCCACACUGGGACUGAGACACGGCCCAG
RNAcentral lists this ribosomal RNA (230 nucleotides) under uncultured bacterium. RNAcentral describes it as "partial 16S ribosomal RNA". It matches the Rfam family "Bacterial small subunit ribosomal RNA", at positions 103 to 334 of the family's 1533-position model. The record is from RNAcentral.